UACAGAGGGUGCAAGCGUUGUUCGGAAUUAUUGGGCGUAAAGCGCGUGUAGGCGGCCAUUCAAGUCGGGUGUGAAAUCCCUCGGCUUAACCGAGGAAGUGCGCCCGAAACUGGGUGGCUUGAGUGCCGGAGAGGGUGGCGGAAUUCCCCAAGUAGAGGUGAAAUUCGUAGAUAUGGGGAGGAACACCGGUGGCGAAGGCGGCCACCUGGACGGUAACUGACGCUGAGACGCGAAAGCGUGGGGAGCAAACAG
This 252-nucleotide ribosomal RNA is filed under the name uncultured bacterium. RNAcentral's name for it is "partial 16S ribosomal RNA". It matches the Rfam family "Bacterial small subunit ribosomal RNA", at positions 524 to 775 of the family's 1533-position model. The record is from RNAcentral.